UCCAGACUCCUACGGGAGGCAGCAGUGAGGAAUAUUGGUCAAUGGACGAAAGUCUGAACCAGCCAUGCCGCGUGCAGGAAGACGGCUCUAUGAGUUGUAAACUGCUUUUGUACAAGGGUAAACCUGAAUACGUGUAUUCAGCUGAAAGUACUGUACGAAUAAGGAUCGGCUAACUCCGUGCCAGCAGCCGCGGUAAUACGGAGGAUGCGAGCGUUAUCCGGAUUUAUUGGGUUUAAAGGGUGCGCAGGCGGAAUGUCAAGUCAGCGGUAAAAUUUCGGGGCUCAACCCCGUCGUGCCGUUGAAACUGGCAGUCUCGAGUUGGAGAGAAGUAUGCGGAAUGCGCGGUGUAGCGGUGAAAUGCAUAGAUAUCGCGCAGAACUCCGAUUGCGAAGGCAGCAUACCGGCGCUCAACUGACGCUCAUGCACGAAAGCGUGGGUAUCGAACAGGAUUAGAUACCCCAGUA
This 464-nucleotide ribosomal RNA is filed under the name uncultured bacterium. RNAcentral describes it as "bacterial SSU rRNA". It matches the Rfam family "Bacterial small subunit ribosomal RNA", at positions 330 to 792 of the family's 1533-position model. The record is from RNAcentral.